AGCAGUCGCCGCGUUAAUACCAGCAGCCCAAGUGGUGGUCGCGAUUAUUGGGCGUAAAGCGCGCGUAGGCGGAUAUUUAAGUCAGGGGUGAAAUCCCGCAGCUCAACUGCGGAACUGCCUUUGAUACUGGGUAUCUUGAGUAUGGAAGAGGUUAGUGGAAUUGCGAGUGUAGAGGUGAAAUUCGUAGAUAUUCGCAGGAACACCAGUGGCGAAGGCGGCUAACUGGUCCAUAACUGACGCUGAGGUGCGAAAGCGUGGGGAGCAAACAGGAUUAGAUACCCCAGUAGUCCCUGUCUCUUAUAC
RNAcentral lists this ribosomal RNA (303 nucleotides) under uncultured bacterium. RNAcentral describes it as "partial 16S ribosomal RNA". It matches the Rfam family "Bacterial small subunit ribosomal RNA", at positions 507 to 807 of the family's 1533-position model. The record is from RNAcentral.